RNAcentral lists this ribosomal RNA (504 nucleotides) under uncultured bacterium. Its description in RNAcentral is "bacterial SSU rRNA". It matches the Rfam family "Bacterial small subunit ribosomal RNA", at positions 30 to 525 of the family's 1533-position model. The record is from RNAcentral.
AUUGAACGCUGGCGGCAUGCCUUACACAUGCAAGUCGAACGGUAACGGGCCUUCGGGUGCCGACGAGUGGCGAACGGGUGAGUAAUGCAUCGGAACGUACCUUUCAGUGGGGGAUAACGUAGCGAAAGUUACGCUAAUACCGCAUAUUCUGUGAGCAGGAAAGCAGGGGAUCGCAAGACCUUGCGCUGAUUGAGCGGCCGAUGUCAGAUUAGCUAGUUGGUGAGGUAAAGGCUCACCAAGGCGACGAUCUGUAGCGGGUCUGAGAGGAUGAUCCGCCACACUGGAACUGAGACACGGUCCAGACUCCUACGGGAGGCAGCAGUGGGGAAUUUUGGACAAUGGGGGGCAACCCUGAUCCAGCCAUGCCGCGUGAGUGAAGAAGGCCUUCGGGUUGUAAAGCUCUUUCGGUCCGGGAAGAAAUACGCAUGGGCUAAUACCCUGUGCGGAUGACGGUACCGGCAUAAGAAGCACCGGCUAACUACGUAGCCAGCAGCCGCGGUAAUC